GGGUCUCCCCCCGUGAGCUUCGUGCCGGCGGACCUGGUGAAGUGGAGCGUUAGCGUGACCACAGAGGGACGUAAUGUUUCAGGGAAGAAGGAAAGCAAGUAGACGGAGAGAAUCCGGAACCUGAAGAGUAUCGGUACUGAAAUGUGGGUUCGGCCGGCAGUACCCUGUGGGUCCGAAACUUUGGUCCGGCCUAGGUGUGAAUGACAGAGGUGGUGCCAUCCAGCUCCCUCAGCGAGGUCAGCCUGCGUCUCCUCUGCCACGAUGACAUAGACACCGUGAAGCACCUGUGCGGCGACUGGUUCCCCAUCGAUUACCCAGACUCAUGGUAUCGUGAUAUCACCUCCAACAAGAAGUUCUUUUCCCUCGCCGCAACCUACAGGGGCGCCAUCGUGGGAAUGAUCGUGGCUGAAAUAAAAAGUAGGACCAAGAUACACAAGGAGGAUGGAGAUAUUCUAGCCUCCAGCUUCUCUGUUGACACACAGGUUGCGUACAUCCUAAGCCUGGGAGUAGUGAAGGAAUUCAGAAAGCACGGCAUAGGUUCCCUAUUACUUGAGAGUUUAAAGGAUCACAUAUCAACCACCGCCCAGGACCACUGCAAAGCCAUCUACCUGCAUGUCCUCACUACCAACAAUACGGCUAUAAACUUCUACGAAAACAGAGACUUCAAGCAGCAUCACUAUCUCCCCUAUUACUAUUCCAUCCGAGGGGUCCUCAAAGAUGGCUUCACCUAUGUCCUCUACAUCAACGGUGGCCACCCUCCCUGGACCAUCCUGGACUACAUCCAGCACCUGGGCUCUGCGCUAGCAAACCUGAGCCCCUGUUCCAUCCCGCACAGGAUCUACCGCCAGGCCCACAGCCUGCUCUGCAGCUUCCUGCCAUGGUCAAGCAUCUCCACCAAGGGCGGCAUCGAGUACAGCCGGACCAUGUGACGCCAGCCGGGCAGUCUCUGCCAGGCCCCACCCCUCGGCACCCUGUGGAAACCGCCUUCCCGGCCAUCUGACUUCUGCUGUCAUCUGCAGAGGAGCCAGUGGGCACCUGCCAGGCCCGUCGGCCUGCCCCAGCUGCAGGCCCGGUGCUACGUGGGCUCAGGAGAAGAGAGUCAAGGGGCGUGCCCGGUCUCCCCCAGGCUCCUCCAGCCCUCCUUCCCAAUCUGGAAACCUUCACUUCUGCUGAGCCCUGGCCGGGCCCCCGCACGUGCUCCAGCCCCACGGGCACCUGGGGGUGGCAGUGUUCACUGUGGUCUGUUUCUUCUGCUGCCCUGGGAGCAAGGGCAUGGGAAAGGGCUUCCUUCCCCACGCCCCUCACCGGCCUCUUCCCCUCCACUGCCUGAUCCUUCCAGCUCCUUCCUCCAAAGUUGGAAUAAACUUCUGGGAGGGAGGAACCCAAGUGUUACGGACAGACUUGACCCUAAAGACACAGGAGCCUCUGAACAAUGAGGGGUCGAAAUAACGGGAAGGCCAGCCCCUGGUCCAAAACCAGCACCCAGAAGCCCGGGGGGCAGAGAGCAGCCCCGGUCUCUCCAGCCGGGGCUGACACUUGCUGGGCACAGCUGAGGAGGCUUCUUACCCACACACUGAGCUCUGGGGCUUCGCUCCCCAUGUGUGCGGGCGGAUAACGAGACAGAUGCCCACAUGCCCGCUAGGAGGCUGAGUCCUCCCGCAGCCUCUUCCCACGGGCUGCUUCAUUCUGUCCCGAGCGAUUGGAACCGCCUGUCAGAUGGUGGAUGUGCCAUUCAGCUGAGCUGCCGCAGGGAGCUGGGCUGAGGACAGGCGCCGCUGAGGGCCUGGGGGUUGUCUCCCCCAGCCCCCCAGCCCCCCAGCCCCAUGAGCAGCAGCUCCGGGGCCUGGCCAGGUGCAGACGGGACGAAGCUGAGCACCACCAUGACCAAGUGAGACCCGGCCUUUGGGGCUGGGGACAGUCACGUGCCUUGUGGUCCCUCCACCUCUGGGGCAGAGACAGUGCCUGGAAGUGUGCACGUGGACGGCACGUGCUCCUGGUGUCCCUUCUGCCAGGGCCCCUAGAGCUGCUUGCUGCCUGGCCUGCCCUUCCGGAGCAGAGGGGAUGGCACAGAGUCUCACGCCGGACGAGAGCAGGAGACGGGAACACCCCAGGUGGGGGCUCCGUGACCGUGUCCUUCCUUCCCUCAGAACUUCCCGGCCCUGGGCUCCUGCGGCCUCACCGGUGGAUCCCGGGCAGGAAGGGCACUCCAUCUCCCCGCACUCCCCACCUCGACGCUGACAUUGGUUUCAUGCUGAGGCCCAACUGGGUGUCCUCUCUAAUCUGAAUCAAAGAUCAUGUGAUUUUUAUUUCUGCCCCUCAGGGUAAGGGAAGAGUCUUCCAGAAGGUUCUGCCUUGGACAUUCGUAAUUGAGCUCAGAGGCCUUGCCCUGCCCCUCCCUCCUCGCCUCCUUAUCACUGCAGUGUCCAGCCCAGUGUUGAACAGAUUAUGGUGUUUUGUCUUACUACAAACAAAUAAAUAGACUUUAAUUGGUCA
Balaenoptera musculus (blue whale) is the source of this 2493-nucleotide RNA transcript. It is a transcript of the gene named N-alpha-acetyltransferase 60, NatF catalytic subunit, with no coding region annotated. The record is from RefSeq and is a predicted model, not a curated record. The transcript has 7 exons. Lineage: Eukaryota; Metazoa; Chordata; Mammalia; Artiodactyla; Balaenopteridae.